RNAcentral lists this long non-coding RNA (1855 nucleotides) under Salvia miltiorrhiza (redroot sage). Its description in RNAcentral is "long non-coding RNA (SMIL_LNC008941)". Lineage: Eukaryota; Viridiplantae; Streptophyta; Magnoliopsida; Lamiales; Lamiaceae. The record is from RNAcentral.
UGGAAUGGUCAAUUUGAAGGAACCCGUGAGGUAAGGCUAUGCUCUUAUUUUGUCUGAUCAUUUUAUUGAAAUCUGAUUCUGCCCUAAUUUAAUUUUGUUUAUUUUUUAAUAUUUGUUCGUCCUUUUCUGAAAUUCAGUUUCAUUAGAUGCCUUUCUCUUCUCCGGUCAAUUGGUAUGUAUUCUUCAGUGAGUGUUUCUAUCUCUGUCUCACACACACAUUGACACAUAUAUGCUUGGCGUUUCUAGUCGAUUAAAGUGCGCAAAAUUAAUAUAUCUAACUCAACUUUUUGUGCAUUACAAGUUCCAGGAUUUGAGUAUUUAGAUAUAUUAAUUGUUACUUCAGAAGUAUAGUUUAGUGUCAAUUGUCUAGCAAUGCAUGGACCUAUAAGUGUAUAUAUAUAUAUCAAAUUCUUAUCAUGCUCUACUUUCUUUCUGUUUAGAUUUUUUAUAAAGACAUAAGUUUGAUUCUAUGUUGAUUUAGCUUUUUUGUGUAAGAAAUACUAUGAGUAUCUUGCUUUUUGUUAAAUUUUUUCAGUGAGGUUGAAAUGGAGUGUAUGUGCUUUCCACCCUCAACUCUUAUUAUUUAACUCUGGUUAACUUAUUAUAUGAUAGUAGCUGUGAAAUUAUAAAUUAACGUUAUCAUUGCAAUGUCAAGUAAUAAGUUCGGUUCUUAACUAGAUGGAUCUAUUUCUUUUAUUAGGCAUUGUUGUAUAUUGUAAAGAGUAUUGCUAAAAUCAGUAGGAGAAUUUUUUUUAAUUAUUGUUUUUCUGUAAAGUUGUUGGGGGUUGAAAUUAUUAAAGUUAUAUUGUAAAGUUUUUUUAAUUAUUGUAUAUUCCUUUUAAUUAUUGUUUUUUAAUUAUUGAUGUACAUGAAAGUCUAUUGCUGAGUUAGAUUGCUAAUUGGAUGCACAUUUUAUAUCAGGUUAUUUCCUACUAAUCCCUGCUCUUCACUAUUAAUCAGUUGUGGUCAUACUUUGUUAUAUCUUUAUUUCAAUUUCUAAAUUAUUUUUAUUAAGAAAAUAUAAUAGGCUAACAUGAAGAAUGGCUGUAGAAAAACAGUAUCUCUAAUAUUCCCAAUGAGUUGGUUCAUUUUGAAUGAGUAUAGUUUAUAUUUAUGUUACUUUUCUUAUGUUUUUACCUUAACUUCUGUUUGUUGAAAAAUGAACCUGUUACUUUCAAUGAGAAUUUCAAUGUAGAUAAAGUAUACUAUAUUAUUUUUUAUUCAAUUUCCUUCAGUUAGGUUAGGAUUGAAUGAUAAAUGAUUCUAUAGUUUUAGGGAUGAUCAGGUAUAUGUUCCAUCGAAGAAGUCAAGAAACAAGUUGUUAAGAUACUUCAAGAUGUUAGUUUUAUUGUAGAAACCAUCAAGGUAUGCUUACAUAUAGUGCAAAUUUUAUUUUCUUAACAAUAGAAUGUAUCUAUCUCUUUAUACUUUGAUCCAAUUUCUAGUAGUAGAUAUUGGUCUUGGUUUUGAAAUGUUUUCAUAUUAUUUUUGUUCUCAGGAUGACCGUUCUUAUUGGUCUAUCAAAUUCAGGAAAAACGACAAAUUUUAAAGUUGCAGCAAGAAGAAGGUGCUUGCCAUAUUAACUAAAGACACGGGUUGGAGAUUUUAUGCACAACAUGGCUUCAGAAGAAGAGUGCAACAUGCCAUCACUUUUUAGCACUAUAUAUAUUUUUUCUUUGAAAUUUUAGAUAUUUUUCUAAAUAGGUUGUUCGAUUAGUGCUACUAUAAAAGUUAAUGAAGUGAUGGACAUCUUGUUCCAAAUUUUUGGGAUCAUUGAUUUUUUUUAUUAUUAUUAAUAUAUGAUUUUUAUUGUAUUGGAUGUGUUUAAUUGUCAUUAUUUUUAUAUUUCCAAUUA